Molecule: ribosomal RNA, 433 nt
Filed under: uncultured bacterium
Lineage: Bacteria
Description: partial 16S ribosomal RNA
Rfam family: Bacterial small subunit ribosomal RNA
Source: RNAcentral
AACGAACGCUGGCGGCAUGCCUAACACAUGCAAGUCGAACGAAGGCUUCGGCCUUAGUGGCGCACGGGUUCGUAACGCGUGGGAAUCUGCCCAUUGGGUCGGAAUACCAGCUGGAAACGGCUGCCAAUAGCGGACGAUGACUAAAACCCAAAGAUUUAUUGCCAGAGGAUGAGCCGGCGUUGGAUUCGGUUGUUGGUGUGGUAAAGGCCGCCCAAGCCGACGAUCCAUAACUGGUCUGAGAGGAAGAUCAGCCACACUUGGAGUAGGAAACGGCCCGGACUCCUACGGGAGGGGGCAGAGGGGAAUAGUGGACAGUGGGGUCAAGGCUGAAGCACCAAGGCCGGUAGAGUGAUGAAGUCAGGAGGGUUGUAAAGCGCUUUUAACUGUGAAGAUAAUGACGGUACCGGGAGAAUAAGCCCCGGCUAACUCCGUG